UUUACAACGAUGAUGAGAAACUGAUCAUAAAAUUUAUGAAUACAGUACAAAUUAAUAAAGAAAAAUCAGUAUGAGUACUGUGCAAUAUACUGAUAAAAGAAACCUUGGCAAUGGUAUAUCAAAGUGCAAUGGCACAUCUAAACAUAUUUCAUUGGUUGAAUCUAUUUGGAUUCUAGACAUAGUUGCCCAUGCCCAAAUGCACUAGCAUUUUCCGUGUCAAAAUAUUUUUUUUUCCUGAAACUACAUAACUAUUAGCAGCUGUCUGUGUGAGAAUAGAAGGAGGAUUGUUUUUACUUCACUUGAAGAUUAAUGAUAUUUUAGAGCUUCAAAAGAAGUUUUUGAAUCUGGCUUUCAUAGCAGGCACCUCCUUCUUGUCUCCUUUAAUUUUAUUACCACUUUUAAAACAUAAUUAUUCACUCUGUGGCAUAUUAAAAAUAGUCUACAAAGCAAAGUUUUUAUUAGAAAUAAGAUUUUGCUUGCUGUCAACUCUGCAGAAUUCUACCUUUCUCUCUCCUUUACCAGGUAGGAUUAUAAUCAUUCCAAUACAGUCAAUGCUGGCUAAUGGAAAUGUGGGAAAAGAAUGGGGUGGGGAGGUUGAAUUGGUUCUAUUUUCUUUCAGAGUGUUUGUUUUCUGACUCUCCAAAAAAGAUACAGCUAAGUUUAAACUACAAUGUAAAAUAAAUUAUGAAAUAGUGGAAUUGUUAUUCACAUCUUCAAUCCUCUGAUCUAUUAUUAGAGUUAGACCCAGGUGGCACAAGAGUUGCAAACUCAUGCUGGAAAUAAGCAUGGUCUUUACCAGUCUUGUCCUGUUUCUGAUCACUCCACUUCCAAAACCUUAAGUUACUGGCCAGUUUUUAACCUUGUGUGUAAUUCUAGUAGAACCUGCUCAAACAUCUGAGAUUGAAACUUUUGAAAAUAUAUAUAGUACAACUUUAAAAAGGAAUACAAGGUACAACAUGGAUUAAUCUUGAAGACACCAUGCUGAGCAAAAUAAGCCAGACACACCAGGUCAUCCCACUAGCAUGAGGUACCUAGAACAGACCAAGUACACAAUCACAGAAAGUGAAAUGGAUGUUACCAGGGGUUGGGGGUGGGAAAGUAGGGAGUGCUCAAUGAGUAUAGAGUUUCCUUUUGGAAUGAUGAAAAAGGCUGAGAGCCAGAAAGUGGUGAUAGUUGAUAACUGCAUUGCACACUGAAAAAUGGUAAAAAUAGUAAAUUUACAUUAUAUACAUUUUAUUCAAACAAAAAGUCAAUAAAACUUUAACACAUCAUUUAAACUAUAAUUUGAGAAGGCAUUUAUUUUAUUUGGAAUGCUCCAAUGAAAGAAAUAAGAAAUAAAAUGAUUAUGUAUGUCUCAGAUGGCAAAUAAAUAUACAACAGUAUGUUAAAGAAGUCUUACCAAUAGUCGGGUAACUUCUUAUAAAUCAAAAUCAAUGCUGGUUUACAUAGAAUUCAGAAAAGGUAGCUUCUGGUGAUGGUGAUUUAAGGGAUUCAGCUCAGAUGCACUGAAUGCCCAGUUUACCUGGCUUGUAUGUCUGUACUGCAGACGUGGAAAGAUCAAGCUAUGCAAGUUAACCUACUCUCAGUGAUCACACCACACCACCAGCCCAAGAUCUGUGUCCCUACUCCAUCGUGGGUCAGCCAAACCAUGAAAAUUUGAAAUGGCAAGAUCUUUUACACCACAAUCGAAGGAAUGCUGACUACUAACUAUUUCCAGGAUGGGACUAUACACUGAACAGAAUCACAAAAUCCAACUUGACAGGAAUUAACAAGAAAUUGUGGCUAUUGUAUUUUGUUAAUGAAUUUUGCCUUCUUCACUGAAAGGAUCUUUAUAGAAAAUCUGAUCCUGCUUUGAAACUAUUAUUAAUUAAAAUAGCUCCUAUCGUUUCUAAGCUCCAACUCUGCCAGCUGUGUUAUAAACACUAUCUGUAAAAAUAGUAACAAUGAAGCUGAACAUCAUUUAUUCCAUGUAUAAAGGUGGAAUCAGACUCAAAGAGGCUGAUCUUUGCUCAAGGCCACCUCUUGACUGAGUGGCAGGGCCUGUGUUUGCAUCUCUGCUGCUCUGCCCUGCAUUCUGAAGGGUCCCACACUCAUUGGUCAUUCUGCUAAUUCCAGGGCUGCAACUUCUUGAUUUCUUACUUUCUGAGACCUCUAUUCCCUGGUCAACUUUUUUAAGUGGUUAUUCUUUGUGCACCAAUUCAAACAAAUUGGACACUUCAUUGCAUUUUCUCACCAUUCUCUCUGGUGUAGCAGGCAUGCUUUAUUUUCAGUCAUAUUGCUUGGACUGGGAUUGUGCUUUCCUCUGUUCCCAAUUGUUCUGUCUCUGCCAGAUAAUUUUCACAAUAAAAUCAGCUUCUCCAAGACCAGCAGAGAGACCAUCUGAUUAAAAUCACUAUUAAAGAAAGGGAAAAGACAAAACUCUGCCAAUAACAUAUCAAAUAUCCAAUGAAUAAUCAAUGACCUAGUUAUAAGUGAAGCAUGCAUUAACUUUGAGGAAAACCAUGUUUAAAAAAAGUUUAUAACAUGAAUCUCUGACUAAAAAUAACUUGCACAAAUUUUCAAGGGGUCAAGACUGUCUUUUCAAACCAUUAAAAUUUUAAAGUAGCCACUAUUUUGUAAAGAAAAAUGUGGAUUUUUAAACUCUUAACUCAACUUUUUCUUUCUGAAACCCAAAGUUGACAAUAUAUGCAGAUUCAGACGUCUAGUAAGCUAUUCCUCUGAACACUGAUAGAAGAAUUUUGUAAACUGUACACAUUUAAUGGAUCAAGUUUUUAUGAUAUUUGCUGGUAGUUCUAGAAAUAUGAGAAACUAGCUGAUUUUGUUUUUCAUUUGUUUUACAAGUUCUGGCAUAAAACUUGGUAGAAGACUUAGUUAUUUAGUAGCAUUGCAAUAAGAUUUAGUGGGAUGUUAUGGUUAUACCAAAAAAAAAAUAGCAUUGGAAAUUGGCCCCCAUCACCAUUGAC
This 2963-nucleotide long non-coding RNA is filed under the name Marmota monax (woodchuck). The record is from RNAcentral. Lineage: Eukaryota; Metazoa; Chordata; Mammalia; Rodentia; Sciuridae.